Molecule: ribosomal RNA, 494 nt
Filed under: uncultured bacterium
Lineage: Bacteria
Description: partial 16S ribosomal RNA
Rfam family: Bacterial small subunit ribosomal RNA
Source: RNAcentral
GACGAACGCUGGCGGCGUGCUUAACACAUGCAAGUCGAACGGUGAAGCGCCUUCCUUUUUGGUGGGUGUGGAUGGGUGGCGAACGGGUGAGUAACACGUGAGUAACCUGCCCCCUUCUUCUGGAUAACCGCAUGAAAGUGUGGCUAAUACGGGAUAUUCUGGGUCUGUCGCAUGAUGGGUCUGGGAAAGAUAUUGUUUCGGUGGGGGAUGGGCUCGCGGCCUAUCAGCUUGUUGGUGGGGUGAUGGCCUACCAAGGCGGUGACGGGUAGCCGGCCUGAGAGGGUGGACGGUCACACUGGGACUGAGGCACGGCCCAGACUCCUACGGGAGGCAGCAGUGGGGAAUAUUGCACAAUGGGCGCAAGCCUGAUGCAGCGACGCCGCGUGAGGGAUGGAGGCCUUCGGGUUGUGAACCUCUUUCGCCAGUGAAGCAGGCCUGCCUCGUUUGUGGGUGGGUUGACGGUAGCUAGAUAAGAAGCGCCGGCUAACUACGUG